Molecule: ribosomal RNA, 769 nt
Filed under: Desis formidabilis
Lineage: Eukaryota; Metazoa; Arthropoda; Arachnida; Araneae; Desidae
Description: SSU rRNA
Rfam family: Eukaryotic small subunit ribosomal RNA
Source: RNAcentral
AAAGUUAGAGGUUCGAAGGCGAUCAGAUACCGCCCUAGUUCUAACCAUAAACGAUGCCAGCCAGCGAUCCGGCUGUGUUCCUCAAAUGACACGCCGGGCAGCUUCCGGGAAACCAAAGCUUUUGGGUUCCGGGGGAAGUAUGGUUGCAAAGCUGAAACUUAAAGGAAUUGACGGAGGGGCACCACAAGCAAUGGAGCUUGCGGCUUAAUUUGACUCAACGCGGGACAGCUCACCUGAACCGGACACAGGAAGGAUUGACAGAUUAAGAGCUCUUUCUUGAUUCUGUGGAAGGUGGUGCAUGGCCGUUCAUAGUUCUUGGAGCGAUUUGUCUGGUUAAUUCCGACAACGAACGAGACUCUAGCCUACUAAAUAGACGUUCCGAUCAUCUCCGUCGGACGUUCUUCUUAGAGGGACAAGCGGCGUUUAGCCGCACGAAACAGAGCGAUAACAGGUCUGUCAUGCCCUUAGAUGCUCGGGGUUGCACGCGUGCUACAAUGAAGGUAUCAGCGUGUGCUUUCCCUGUCCGACAGGACUGGGUAACCCGUUGAACCUCCUUCGUGCUGGGGAUAGGGGCUUGUAAUUGUUCCCCUUGAACGAGGAAUUCCUAGUAAGCACGAAUCAUUACUUCGUGUUGAUUACGUCCCUGCCCCUUGUCCACAYCGCCCGUCGCUACCUGCAAUUGAAUGAUUUAGUGAGGUCAUCGGACUGGCGCUCGGAGCGGCCUUCGGGUCGCGCCGGCGUGCUGGAAAGAUGAUCGAACUUGAUUAUU